RNA transcript from Syzygium oleosum, 2260 nucleotides. It is a transcript of the gene named caffeoylshikimate esterase, with no coding region annotated. NCBI's taxonomy places the organism in Eukaryota, Viridiplantae, Streptophyta, Magnoliopsida, Myrtales, Myrtaceae. The record is from RefSeq and is a predicted model, not a curated record. The transcript has 9 exons.
AAUCAUGCAAAAAUAAUUUCGAUCAGAUUCCACUUUCUCGUUUCCGACAUUUGUUCGGUCGUUCCUGGUAGUUGCGUUCCCAGGCCAGACCCCCGGGUUGAAUCCCAUGGACCCGGCGCUGACCCUCGGAUUCCGGGCGCCGGAGCUGUCCCUGUUUCGCCGGAGAAGCGACGCUCCCUUCGGCGACCCUCGGCGAGCUCCUUCCCCACGGGCGGCGCGGGCGAAACCGAGCCUGAGCUCCUCCGCAUCGCCGCCGUCGCCCGGGACUCGCUUGACCGUCGCGGCCAAGAAGAGGCCGCCGAUCGAUGGGCUCAGCGACGAGAUGAACGCGAUCGCGUCGCAGAGGCUGGACUUCGCGCCUGCUCGGAGAAGGGUGCGAGCUGCGUUCACCGAGGUCCAGCGACAGCUCGAUCAUUGCUUGUUCAAGCUGGCUCCUGCUGGGAUCAGAACAGACGAGUGGUAUGAGACAAACUCAAACGGUCUCCAAAUUUUCUGUAAGAGCUGGUUGCCUAAAGCGGGUGUUCAAAUUAAGGGCGCAGUGUGUUUUUGCCACGGCUAUGGUGAUACUUGCACUUUCUUCUUUGAAGGUAUCGCCAGGCGCUUUGCUUCACAAGGAUAUGCUGUUUAUGCUUUGGACCACCCAGGUUUCGGCCUUUCAGAUGGAUUGCAUGGUUACAUCUCAAGCUUCGAUGAAUUAGUCGACAACGUCAUUGAACAAUACACGAAAAUCAAAGAGAGACCUGAAGUGAGAGGAUUGCCUCGCUUUAUAUUGGGACAGUCCAUGGGUGGAGCUGUUACUCUCAAGGUUCAUCUAAAGCAGCCUGAUGAAUGGGAUGGAGUCAUCCUUGUUGCACCGAUGUGUAAAAUUUCAGAUGCUGUUAGACCACCCGAAGCAGUUGUAAAAAUGUUGACCCUCAUGUCUAGCAUUCUGCCAAAAGCAAAGCUCUUCCCGCAGAAGGAUCUUGCUGAGCUGGCUUUCAGAGACUUGAAGAAAAGGAAAAUGGCUGUCUACAAUGUGAUUUGCUACAAUGACCAAAUGCGACUGCAGACUGCCUCAGAACUUCUUAGGGCAACUAAUGAUAUUGAGGCACGAGUAGAGAAGGUUUCAUCUCCAUUGCUGAUUCUUCAUGGAGCGGGUGAUAAGGUGACAGAUCCUUCAGUGAGUAAGUUUCUCUACGAAAAGGCCUCUAGCAAGGAUAAAACCUUAAAGCUUUAUGAAGGAGGGUAUCACUGCAUUCUUGAAGGCGAAUCUGAUGAAAAGAUAUUUAUGGCCCUCGAUGAUAUUGUUUUGUGGCUGGAUUCUCGGUGUUCCCCCAAGUAGAAAACCAUUCUUUUGGUGUUGAAAGCAAGUUCAUUUGAGAUAAUCAUAGUUAAGUUGCACAUUGGGCACUUCAAACAACAUUCACUGACACGGUUAAAGAACGGGGUCCCGUUCCUGAUGAUGUUGCUGUUCAGUGCCCUGGCCUAGUCGUCAUUGUGGACUCAUCUGCUUAAUUGGGAAAACUGGAAUUGAGGCAAAUGUGCGUUUGUAGCUUUGUUCAUUUGGUUAUUCAGACACCUGCUUAAAGGGCGACGCAAACUGGUGAGCUAGUCUUGCUGUGAUAAUGGUACUGGUACUUUCAUCAACAUCGCCUCGGUUGUUUUGUUUCCUGUGUUACGGUUUUCACACUCUGUAUUCAUUUCAGGCAUGAGGGCUUGAUCUGCCAGCUGAACUCAAGAGGAUGAAGUGAAACCAUUGAUUUGAAUGCGUGUGUUGUGGUUGCUCACUUGACAUUAUCAUCCUACACAAUGCAGCAUGCUUUGGAUAUAGGAAAGUGGCCAAUAUAAACUGUAUUCCGGUCUCGUGUUCGGUAAUCUGGCAAAUUAGGAUGCCCCGGAUCCGGCGCGUCUCAUCAAGAAGUGUAAUGUUAAAGUUUAAAAACUGCUGGUGCAUGAAUUGUAUAUCCUAGGGGAAUUGGUUUGCGGUCGACGGCAUAACAAAUCAAUAGGACCUUUUAGUUGUACAACUCGAUGGUCUAGUUCAAGGUUUCAUCCUUCUUGGUUCAAGCGCUUUGUUUCGACCAUUAAAUAGGACUGUCCGUUUGUCUCCCGGUACUAUUAAUCUCUAUACCAAGGCUUCGGUCUGAAAAAAGUUUCAUGAUCCUUAGGAUCUACUUAAGUAGCAAAUGGAAAGCAUACUUGCUAAACUAGCUCAAUUUGUCGUUUCAAAUUAUAGUUCUAACAUUCAAAUAUAUAUUAGUUUUCUUGUCUUUUAUGGUAA